AUCACUUCUCGGCCUUUUGGCUAAGAUCAAGUGUAGAAAUGUAUGUGCAGUACUUAUUUGUGCAUGCAUUUCCUGUUGCGGCACCAGGCUCACUGCAACUUGCUUUUUAAUUCCUAGCAGCUGUAAUGGUUAUCCCCCAUAAUAGUCCAUAAUAUGGGAAGUGCUGUAGAGCCUCUGCUUU
Non-coding RNA from Podarcis lilfordi (Lilford's wall lizard), 181 nucleotides. NCBI's taxonomy places the organism in Eukaryota, Metazoa, Chordata, Lepidosauria, Squamata, Lacertidae. The record is from the annotation of a GenBank genome assembly.